CUACAGGGGUAUCUAAUCCUGUUCGCUCCCCACGCUUUCGUCCAUCAGCGUCAAUAUGGCGUUAGCGACCUGCCUUCGCAAUCGGUAUUCUGAGCAAUAUCUAUGCAUUUCACCGCUACACUGCUCAUUCUAGCCGCUUCACGCCAAUUCAAGGCGGCCAGUAUCAAUGGCAGUCCCGCAGUUGAGCUGCGGGAUUUCACCACUGACUUAGCCGCCCGCCUACGGACCCUUUAAACCCAAUGAUUCCGGAUAACGCUCGGAUCCUCCGUAUUACCGCGGCUGCUGGCAC
Molecule: ribosomal RNA, 289 nt
Filed under: uncultured Flavobacteriaceae bacterium
Lineage: Bacteria; Pseudomonadati; Bacteroidota; Flavobacteriia; Flavobacteriales; Flavobacteriaceae
Description: partial 16S ribosomal RNA
Source: RNAcentral